CCCUGUGAACAUACCUAAACGUUGCUUCGGCGGGAACAGACGGCCCCGUAACACGGGCCGCCCCCGCCAGAGGACCCCCUAACUCUGUUUCUAUAAAUGUUUUUUCUGAGUAAACAAGCAAAUAAAUUAAAACUUUCAACAACGGAUCUCUUGGCUCUGGCAUCGAUGAAGAACGCAGCGAAAUGCGAUAAGUAAUGUGAAUUGCAGAAUUCAGUGAAUCAUCGAAUCUUUGAACGCACAUUGCGCCCGCCAGUAUUCUGGCGGGCAUGCCUGUUCGAGCGUCAUUACAACCCUCAGGCCCCCGGGCCUGGCGUUGGGGAUCGGCGGAGCCCCCCGUGGGCACACGCCGUCCCCCAAAUACAGUGGCGGUCCCGCCGCAGCUUCCAUUGCGUAGUAGCUAACACCUCGCAACUGGAGAGCGGCGCGGCCACGCCGUAAAACACCCAACUUCUGAAUGUUGACCUCGAAUCAGGUAGGAAUACCCGCUGAACUUAAGCAUAUCAAUAA
RNAcentral lists this ribosomal RNA (507 nucleotides) under Fusarium solani. RNAcentral's name for it is "eukaryotic LSU rRNA". The stretch from base 131 to 284 matches the Rfam family "5.8S ribosomal RNA". Lineage: Eukaryota; Fungi; Ascomycota; Sordariomycetes; Hypocreales; Nectriaceae. The record is from RNAcentral.